Molecule: ribosomal RNA, 528 nt
Filed under: uncultured bacterium
Lineage: Bacteria
Description: bacterial SSU rRNA
Rfam family: Bacterial small subunit ribosomal RNA
Source: RNAcentral
AGAGUUUGAUCCUGGCUCAGAUUGAACGCUGGCGGCAGGCCUAACACAUGCAAGUCGAACGGUAACAGGAAGCAGCUUGCUGCUUCGCUGACGAGUGGCGGACGGGUGAGUAAUGUCUGGGAAACUGCCCGAUGGAGGGGGAUAACUACUGGAAACGGUAGCUAAUACCGCAUAACGUCGCAAGACCAAAGAGGGGGACCUUCGGGCCUCUUACCAUCGGAUGUGCCCAGAUGGGAUUAGCUAGUUGGUGAGGUAACGGCUCACCAAGGCGACGAUCCUUAGCUGGUCUGAGAGGAUGACCAGCCACACUGGAACUGAGACACGGUCCAGACUCCUACGGGAGGCAGCAGUGGGGAAUAUUGCACAAUGGGCGCAAGCCUGAUGCAGCCAUGCCGCGUGUAUGAAGAAGGCCUUCGGGUUGUAAAGUACUUUCAGCGGGGAGGAAGGGGAUGUGGUUAAUAACCGCGUUCAUUGACGUUACCCGCAGAAGAAGCACCGGCUAACUCCGUGCCAGCAGCCGCGGUAAUA